ACUGAAUCAGAAUGCCGCCUCACCGUGUCCGUAGCUUGAAUCGGAUGGUUGGGCAUUCUCGGGGAAGAGCCCCUACUAACCAAGCUGGUGAGGCAUCGCAUAGCUCAGGACCCCAAGGUCAAUCAACUCCAGAAACUGCCGCCGGAAAUCAAAUCCGGGUGCUCGAACUGAUUGAGGAGGUUGUUGGGUUAGUACGCCAACAGAGGCAACAACCUCAGCAACCAAUCCAGCAAGUCGUUGAUCCUCCGGAGCAAAGGAGUAUAGCUGAAUUCAAGAGAAUGG
RNAcentral lists this long non-coding RNA (282 nucleotides) under Phoenix dactylifera (date palm). RNAcentral describes it as "long non-coding RNA (PDAC_LNC013256)". The record is from RNAcentral. Lineage: Eukaryota; Viridiplantae; Streptophyta; Magnoliopsida; Arecales; Arecaceae.